RNAcentral lists this transfer RNA (58 nucleotides) under Apaloderma vittatum (bar-tailed trogon). It matches the Rfam family "tRNA", at positions 8 to 63 of the family's 71-position model. From Rfam's summary of the family: Transfer RNA (tRNA) molecules are approximately 80 nucleotides in length. Their secondary structure includes four short double-helical elements and three loops (D, anti-codon, and T loops). The record is from Rfam by way of RNAcentral. Lineage: Eukaryota; Metazoa; Chordata; Aves; Trogoniformes; Trogonidae.
UAGCUCAGUCAGUUGAGCGUGGUGCUAACAAUACUAAAGUCACGGGUUCGAUUCCCGU